Molecule: long non-coding RNA, 1483 nt
Organism: Rhododendron vialii
Lineage: Eukaryota; Viridiplantae; Streptophyta; Magnoliopsida; Ericales; Ericaceae
Exons: 2
Source: RefSeq, a predicted model, not a curated record
CUUCCUGCGAAAUGCUGCACCGAAAGCAGCGGCUUGUAAACGCAAAAGAAAAGCACUCUCUUCCUUCUCAUCAAGAGGAGAGGACAUCGAUUUCUGACUCCUAUAACUUAGGAAUCAAAUCGGGGUGAACUCGGUGCUGUUUUAUAAAGAAAAAGGGCAAAAUAAGCAUCGACGUCAUAUGUUCAUACUUCCACCAUAGAAGUUGAGACUCCAAGGUACUCUCAAGAUGUUCCUUUAAGUUAUUAAACCUGUUGAAUGCCAUUGUUAUACACUAUGCGCCAAAGCUGUUUGACAAAAUGCCUGAUCAUUUUUUUAGUUCUAAUUGAUUCUUUACCAUACCAAAAACAUUAACAACUUACUGGGAAUUGGUUCCAUUUUUGCAUUUUUAUUGGUUACCACGGGAUUUCUUGGGAAAGUCAUCACCGGUUUUCUACUUUUCAAAGUUCCGAAAAUGUCCCUACCAAGCCUAAUUAUUAACACACCUGGUCCAAGAUUAUUCACGCAAGUUUGGAGCAUACACGAUAACACGACUAUUGAAGGCAAUUCUACGACUAUUGAAGGCAACCUUCCCAUCCUAAACCGAAAAGACACAACCCUUCCAAUGUACUAAUUAUUAAAGACGAGCCCACCGAAAAAACACAACCCUUCCAAUCUACUGAUUAUUAAAGACUCAAAGCCAACCGCCACUUCGCCACCAGACUUUGAGUUCCACACCGUCAUUAUAGGCGAACUCUCAAGCCGUAGCGGCAAUUGCUCAAUUAUUCCAUCCGAAUUUCUAGAGCUGGCCAUGAUUGGAAGUUUUGUUCAUGUCAAAAAGAGUCAGUUGGCUCAGUCCCCCCAUGGAGGAUGGAGUUCGCGGGGCAUGCAAUGAAUCCUAACAAUGGUGUUGAAGUAGGUAAGUUUUGUUUCAUGGGUUUGGGUGAAAUGAAUUCACAGAUUUUCCCGCACUCUUCGUUCUUGGAAGCAAACCUGGGCGCCAACCCAUCCUGGACUUGGCAUAGUAUUUUAGAUAGGAGAGAUGUUCUGUUGGAUGGAGUGUGGUGGAGAGUGGGUAACGGCAGGAGGGUGCGAGUGGCAACUGAUCUGUGGAUUCCAAAUAAGGAGAGCUAUAAACCACUGGGUGUAUCAACAGAGGGAAGAGAGAUACGGGUCAUGACUUGAUUGAUCCGGUAACGUGUCAGUGGAAAGUUGAUGUGGUGCAAUCAGUUUUGCGGGCAGAAGACGCAAAGGUGGUGCUGGCUGUUCCACUACCAUAUUCUGAUGUUGAAGAUUGAUGGGUGUGGCACCACACGACAAAUGGGAUUUAUACAGUCAGUUUGGGGUACAAAUUGGCUCUUGCGAUUCGAAAACGAGGCAGUGGAAGGCAUAGGGAGCAAGGGGAAUCCAGUAUACGGAAUGGCGACAAAAAGGUAUGGAAUAAAGUUUGGUCUCUUUGGAUACCAAAUAAAUUGAAACAUUUUGUGUUUAAGUGUAUCAAUGGGAU